CCUGAGCGUCCGGAGCCUGUGCUCUGCAACAGGAGAGGCCACGGCAGUGAGAGGCCCGCAUACCGCAAGAAAAAAAAAAAGUGCUUAUAAACUUUCCUAACACAUAAAUCAUCAAGGGUCCUCAUGUAGGUGGAGUAAAGUAAUUUCACCUGAAAUAAGUUACUGCCGAGCAGGUUGUGGGUCUGCUGUGAUACAAAGUCUGACAUCCAGACAGUACACAGCCCAGAUUUGUGAGCCUCAGCUGUCAGAAAGAAUUAUGGAACGUGGAGAUAAAACUGUCACUGAAAUACAGUCUUUUAUUUUUGAACAGAAAUAAUUUACACAUAGGUAUUAAGGUUGGAAACAUUCCCAUUUUGGUGCCUGGCAGAAGAACCACAGGAUUCCUAUUCAUUUUAAGAAUAUUUAUUGAGAGGCCACCAUGCCAGGACCAGAGCAGGCUGACUGGUAUCUACACAGUAAUGCUACGCAGUCUUUGUUCCAGGUACCAGACUUUUCCAGGAUAUGUAGAACGAUAUUAACUCUUAUCUCUCAAGUCUCCAGGGUCCAUGUGCUCAGUGUGAACACCUGCCAAUGCUGGGUAAUCCUCACAUCCAGCCCCCUGGGCUCCAGUGAACACAGGCCUGACAAGUGAGAAGCCUGCACUGGUGAUGCUACCACUCUGAGGAGUAAAGGACCCUGAGUUUCUUCUUUAAAAAGCGUAGAAUCUCUCCACCUUCUGACAGAUGAGGAAAUAGUUAUAAACAGAUCACUUGUCUGCAAAAACAGGAUGAAACAGUGAGCCAGCUGAAGCCCAGAGAGGGUCACAUGCCUUAUCUGCAGCCACCCAGCUGGUAUGUAGGAAAAUCACCACCAGAACCCAGGUCUUCUGCCUUGGACUGCUGGUUUUUCCCAUUAUACUGCAUUAUCCCUCUGAGAACAGAACUAAUGGCAUCAAUAUAAUUUGUUCUUAACAUGCUGGCUUCUAUAUCACUAGCCACGCCUAGUGAGGUAUCUUCUGUAUCACCUAACCAAACUAAGGAGUAUAGAAAAAAAUACAGAUCUUGCCCUUAAGAAGUUUACUUUUUAAACGAUCUGAAAAUGAAAACAAAAAACAAAAAACCCCACAAGUACACAGAAUUAAACUUGUCCUGACUCUUAUAGUCUUUGACUCCUCUCUUCCGGCAUCUCCAAAAGUCAUCUUCAUUUUUCGACUCUUCUUUGCCAUGUGGUUUACCAAGCAGAAAACAAACAUGUGAUUGGCUAUCAGAAACUUGUGUGUGCAGUGAAAGCCUCAGGCUUCCUUCCCCAGUGCAAAUGACCCUCCAGUCCAACUUUGCUAUUAAGGUGGAAGGCAGCUGCAAUACUGCAGACAGAGAGGCCCUUCCAGAAGACUCCCUCACCUCUACCAGCUCUGCCUCCUUAGCUCCAAUUCUGGAACCACAGUGCCAGCCCUUGCACCCGGGAGCAUCUGUCUGCCUGGUAUUUUCCCAGUGCCGCAUGCUCAUGCAUAACAGCACUGCUUUUGCAGCCGAGACCCACGCAACUUUCCCAAGGCUGCAGGGUUUUUUCUGGGAGCUGCCUGAUGCAUAGAUUGUUAACGGGCAACCCAUACAGUGUUGGGAUUCACGUUAAAAUUCAGUUUUUAAACAUGCUUUUUUCAUGGGAACCCUCCUCCAUCACCUCACCCCUCCUCUUCGUUCUGCCACCUUCUGUACUUACCGGUUUUUGGUCUUUUUGGUUUUUCAGUUUUUUAGUGGUAAGGAAAGGAAGAAGAUCUGUUAAAAUAACAUAAAAUGUUCAGAAUAAUAUUAUGACCCCUAUUUCUCUUCAUAGUGGGCACUGGUGGUGUACAUAAGAAUUUUCUACAGACGGAUUGAUUCUCUCCCAUCUGCACCUCAAAUAGUCAAGCCAACAAGUGAUAGAAUAAGUCAGAUUGACAUCACCCUUUUUCCUCUUCUUUCAGGCCUCUUAGCAGAGAAGUAAAUAAACAAUGAAAGUAACCAAAAUUCAAGUAGAGAAAUAAAGGAUGACAGAGACUGACUAGUUCACAAGUUGAAUUAUCAAUUUCGGAAUCACCUCAAAAUCUUUGUUGCUUUAAGUGAACUAAUAUUCACUUAACUAUUUAAGUGAAUAUUAAGUGAACUGUCAUGUUAACAACAACAAUAGGAAGAAAGUGAAGCAUUAUAUUCAAGUUCUCCUCCCGUGAGAUUUGCGCGGUGUGUGUGUGGAGAGAGGGGGGUAAACCAUCCACUCACUUUUGAGAAACGAUCCUUAAUGCUUACAUGAUAG
Non-coding RNA from Delphinapterus leucas (beluga whale), 2268 nucleotides. NCBI's taxonomy places the organism in Eukaryota, Metazoa, Chordata, Mammalia, Artiodactyla, Monodontidae. The record is from RefSeq and is a predicted model, not a curated record.